GUGGAAAGUGCUCCUGCAUAUACUAAAAUUGGAAGGCUACAGAGAUUAGUGUGACCCCUGUGCAAGGAUGACAUGCAAAUUCAUGAAGCAUUCCAAAUGUUU
Manis javanica (Malayan pangolin) is the source of this 102-nucleotide non-coding RNA. Lineage: Eukaryota; Metazoa; Chordata; Mammalia; Pholidota; Manidae. The record is from RefSeq and is a predicted model, not a curated record.